Armigeres subalbatus is the source of this 1106-nucleotide long non-coding RNA. RefSeq lists it as uncharacterized. The record is from RefSeq and is a predicted model, not a curated record. The transcript is spliced from 3 exons. NCBI's taxonomy places the organism in Eukaryota, Metazoa, Arthropoda, Insecta, Diptera, Culicidae.
GCAUAUAGUGCCCUCUGAAUAUGAAGUGAAAGAUUACGAAUGUAUAAAACGCAAACUCAAAAAAAUGCUCCACUGAACCUUCUCGAAUUUCCUCCCUCGAUGGGACAAUGGGGAGGCAAAUCUAAACGGGGGAAAGCAAGACGAAAAAGCUUUUGUAUUCGGGAUCGCGCCACUCAGUAUCUGUAUUUGGGUAUGAUCACUUCAGUGAAGAUUGUGAAAACCAUAAGAGGUGCAUAGAAAGUGGUCUGACAAGUUAGUAAAAACUAUACCAAAAGUUAUACCAAAAUAGUUAGAAUUGGUGAACAAACAAAACUUUGUGGGAGUCUCCACAUUUAUAUUUGAAAAUUAACAAAAGGAAGCCUAAAAAGGAAGCCAGGUGAGAUCGAUUGUGCUUCGAUCUCCGUUUAAUAAGGUUAAAACCCGCAUCGUAGUGGGUUUUUUGUUGGAGUUUGGAAGUCACAUGCCAACCACGUGACCCUACCAUACGUCGUCGGGCCCCUCGGAAGAAAAACCAUUUUCGCUUUUCUUGAGUAACGCCUCCCACCGUGAAGAAGGGAAACCCCACGCUACGGAAUACGCUCUCGCCGUUCGGUGGUCGGCAGUCAAACUAUACACCACAGUUGAGUUUAGACUGGGAGUACAGCCACCCGGUUACGUGGCAGAGAUACAAUACACGUGUGAGUAACGCAUAGCGGUGACAACUCUAACACCGACGACAGAGUACGCCAUCUGGGGAUUGGCUCAAGAAUCCGACGUUUGAAACUACCGCAGCCUGAAGCAACUUUGUACCGAGAAAUUGUUCGAGAGUCGACUCAACAGAAAACAGGUCAGAUCCACAAAAUGUAUUUAGAAUUAGAUGAAGCUAGGAAGAAUCUGGUCCCGGGACAAGUUAGGCACGAUAUGUAGAAUAAUACACGUAUAAAAGCUCAAGAAUUCUUUGACAUUCAACUCAUCCCAUGGUCGAAGCAACCUUUUUUGAAGUGAACGGUUCGUUGUAGUUUUUAGUUUCUUUUUAGUACUUUUUCGCUUAUUUCAACUUGGUUAAACCUUAGUCGGAUUAUAAUCUUCGGAGUCUUUGACGGGUGGGUGAUGGAAGAGGUAUACGG